UACGUAGGGUGCGAGCGUUAAUCGGAAUUACUGGGCGUAAAGCGCGCGCAGGCGGUCUUCCAAGUCAGUGGUGAAAGCCCGGAGCUCAACUCCGGAACUGCCAUUGAAACUGUUGGACUUGGGGAUGAGAGAGGUGAGUGGAAUUCCCAGUGUAGAGGUGAAAUUCGUAGAUAUUGGGAAGAACACCGGUGGCGAAGGCGGCUCACUGGCUCAUUACUGACGCUCAGGCGCGACAGCGUGGGGAUCAAACAGG
RNAcentral lists this ribosomal RNA (253 nucleotides) under uncultured bacterium. RNAcentral describes it as "partial 16S ribosomal RNA". It matches the Rfam family "Bacterial small subunit ribosomal RNA", at positions 524 to 776 of the family's 1533-position model. The record is from RNAcentral.